GUGCCAGCAGCCGCGGUAAUACCAGCUCCGCGAGUGGUCGGGGUGCUUACUGGGCCUAAAGCGCCCGUAGCCGGCCCGGUAAGUCGUCCCUGAAAUCCACGGGCUCAACCCGUGGGCUGGGGACGAUACUGCCGGGCUUGGGGGCGGGAGAGGCCGAGGGUACUCCCGGGGUAGGGGCGAAAUCCGAUAAUCCCGGGAGGACCCCAGUGGCGAAGGCGCUCGGCUGGAACGCGCCCGACGGUGAGGGGCGAAAGCUGGGGGAGCAAAGGGGAUUAGAUACCCCUGUAGUCCCAGCUGUAAACGGUGCGGGCUAGCUGUUGGGCGGGCUUAGAGCCCGCCCAGUGGCGGAGGGAAGCCGUUAAGCCCGCCGCCUGGGGAGUACGGCCGCAAGGCUGAAACUUAAAGGAAUGGCGGGGGGGCACCACAAGGGGUGAAGCUUGCGGCUUAAUUGGAGUCAACGCCGGAAACCUUACCCGGGGCGACAGCAGGAUGAUGGCCAGGCUAACGACCUUGCCGGACGAGCUGAGAGGAGGUGCAUGGCCGUCGUCAGCUCGUGCCGUGAGGUGUCCGGUUAAGUCCGGCAACGAGCGAGACCCCCACCCCUAGUUGCUACCCGAUCUUCGGGAUCGGGGGCACACUAGGGGGACUGCCGGCGUAAGCCGGAGGAAGGAGGGGGCCACGGCAGGUCAGUAUGCCCCGAAACCCCGGGGCUGCACGCGAGCUGCAAUGGCGGGGACAGCGGGAUCCGACCCCGAAAGGGGACCGUAAUCCCGUAAACCCCGCCCCAGUAGGGAUCGAGGGCUGUAACUCGCCCUCGUGAACGUGGAAUCCCUAGUAACCGCGUGUCACCAACGCGCGGUGAAUACGUCCCUGCCCCUUGCACACACCGCCCGUC
This 895-nucleotide ribosomal RNA is filed under the name uncultured prokaryote. RNAcentral's name for it is "bacterial SSU rRNA". It matches the Rfam family "Archaeal small subunit ribosomal RNA", at positions 455 to 1354 of the family's 1478-position model. The record is from RNAcentral.